GAUGAACGCUGGCGGCGUGCCUAAUACAUGCAAGUCGAGCGAACAGACGAGGAGCUUGCUCCUCUGACGUUAGCGGCGGACGGGUGAGUAACACGUGAUAACCUACCUAUAAGACUGGGAUAACUUCGGGAAACCGGAGCUAAUACCGGAUAAUAUAUUGAACCGCAUGGUUCAAUAGUUAAAGACGGUUUUGCUGUCACUUAUAGAUGGAUCCGCGCCGCAUUAGCUAGUUGGUAAGGUAACGGCUUACCAAGGCAACGAUGCGUAGCCGACCUGAGAGGGUGAUCGGCCACACUGGAACUGAGACACGGUCCAGACUCCUACGGGAGGCAGCAGUAGGGAAUCUUCCGCAAUGGGCGAAAGCUUGACGGAGCAACGCCGCGUGAGUGAUGAAGGUCUUCGGAUCGUAAAACUCUGUUAUUAGGGAAGAACAAAUGUGUAAGUAACUAUGCACGUCUUGACGGUACCUAAUCAGAAAGCCACGGCUAACUACGUG
RNAcentral lists this ribosomal RNA (496 nucleotides) under uncultured bacterium. Its description in RNAcentral is "partial 16S ribosomal RNA". It matches the Rfam family "Bacterial small subunit ribosomal RNA", at positions 28 to 507 of the family's 1533-position model. The record is from RNAcentral.